UAAAGAUUCAUCGCUGAUAGAUAGGCAUGCGUUCCAUUAGGCAGUUGGCGGGGUAACGGCCCACCAAACCGACGAUGGAUAGGGGUUCUGAGAGGAAGGUCCCCCACAUUGGUACUGAGACACGGACCAAACUCCUACGGGAGGCAGCAGUGAGGAAUAUUGGUCAAUGGGCGUAAGCCUGAACCAGCCAAGUCGCGUGAGGGAUGAAGGUUCUAUGGAUCGUAAACCUCUUUUAUAAGGGAAUAAAGUGCGGGACGUGUCCCGUUUUGUAUGUACCUUAUGAAUAAGGAUCGGCUAACUCCGUGCCAGCAGCCGCGGUAAUACGGAGGAUCCGAGCGUUAUCCGGAUUUAUUGGGUUUAAAGGGUGCGUAGGCGGCCUUUUAAGUCAGCGGUGAAGGUCUGUGGCUCAACCAUAGAAUUGCCGUUGAAACUGGGAGGCUUGAGUAUGUUUGAGGCAGGCGGAAUGCGUGGUGUAGCGGUGAAAUGCUUAGAUAUCACGCAGAACCCCGAUUGCGAAGGCAGCCUGCCAAGCCAUGACUGACGCUGAUGCACGAAAGCGUGGGGAUCAAGCAGGAUUAGAUACCCUGGUAGUCCACGCAGUA
RNAcentral lists this ribosomal RNA (602 nucleotides) under uncultured bacterium. RNAcentral's name for it is "bacterial SSU rRNA". It matches the Rfam family "Bacterial small subunit ribosomal RNA", at positions 202 to 804 of the family's 1533-position model. The record is from RNAcentral.